GGUGUGGGGGAUAACGUUCGGAAACGGACGCUAAUACCGCAUACGUCCUACGGGAGAAAGCGGGGGGAUCUUCGGACCUCGCGCCAUUAGAUGAGCCUAGGUCGGAUUAGCUAGUUGGUGAGGUAAUGGCUCACCAAGGCGACGAUCCGUAACUGGUCUGAGAGGAUGAUCAGUCACACUGGAACUGAGACACGGUCCAGACUCCUACGGGAGGCAGCAGUGGGGAAUAUUGGACAAUGGGCGAAAGCCUGAUCCAGCCAUGCCGCGUGUGUGAAGAAGGUCUUCGGAUUGUAAAGCACUUUAAGUUGGGAGGAAGGGUAGUAACCUAAUACGUUGCUACUUUGACGUUACCGACAGAAUAAGCACCGGCUAACUUCGUG
RNAcentral lists this ribosomal RNA (380 nucleotides) under uncultured bacterium. RNAcentral describes it as "bacterial SSU rRNA". It matches the Rfam family "Bacterial small subunit ribosomal RNA", at positions 133 to 507 of the family's 1533-position model. The record is from RNAcentral.